UGCAAGUCGAACGCGCAGCGUAGAGGUGCUUGCACCUUUCAAGCGAGUGGCGAACGGGUGAGUAACACGUGGAUAACCUGCCUCAAGGCUGGGGAUAACAUUUGGAAACAGAUGCUAAUACCGAAUAAAACUUAGUAUCGCAUGAUACAAAGUUAAAAGGCGCUACGGCGUCACCUAGAGAUGGAUCCGCGGUGCAUUAGUUAGUUGGUGGGGUAAAGGCUUACCAAGACAAUGAUCGCAUAGCCGAGUUGAGAGACUGAUCGGCCACAUUGGGACUGAGACACGGCCCAAACUCCUACGGGAGGCUGCAGUAGGGAAUCUUCCACAAUGGGCGCAAGCCUGAUGGAGCAACGCCGCGUGUGUGAUGAAGGCUUUCGGGUCGUAAAGCACUGUUGUAUGGGAAGAAAUGCUAAAAUAGGGAAUGAUUUUAGUUUGACGGUACCAUACCAGAAAGGGACGGCUAAAUACGUGCCAGCAGCCGCGGUAAUACGUAUGUCCCGAGCGUUAUCCGGAUUUAUUGGGCGUAAAGCGAGCGCAGACGGUUGAUUAAGUCUGAUGUGAAAGCCCGGAGCUCAACUCCGGAAUGGCAUUGGAAACUGGUUAACUUGAGUGUUGUAGAGGUAAGUGGAACUCCAUGUGUAGCGGUGGAAUGCGUAGAUAUAUGGAAGAACACCAGUGGCGAAGGCGGCUUACUGGACAACAACUGACGUUGAGGCUCGAAAGUGUGGGUAGCAMACAGGAUUAGAUACCCUGGUAGUCCACACCGUAAACGAUGAAUACUAGGUGUUAGGAGGUUUCCGCCUCUUAGUGCCGAAGCUAACGCAUUAAGUAUUCCGCCUGGGGAGUACGACCGCAAGGUUGAAACUCAAAGGAAUUGACGGGGACCCGCACAAGCGGUGGAGCAUGUGGUUUAAUUCGAAGCAACGCGAAGAACCUUACCAGGUCUUGACAUCCUUUGAAGCUUUUAGAGA
Molecule: ribosomal RNA, 971 nt
Filed under: Leuconostoc citreum
Lineage: Bacteria; Bacillati; Bacillota; Bacilli; Lactobacillales; Lactobacillaceae
Description: bacterial SSU rRNA
Source: RNAcentral